Molecule: ribosomal RNA, 464 nt
Filed under: Stumpffia sp. CaNEW1
Lineage: Eukaryota; Metazoa; Chordata; Amphibia; Anura; Microhylidae
Description: partial large subunit ribosomal RNA
Rfam family: Bacterial large subunit ribosomal RNA
Source: RNAcentral
CUAACCGUGCAAAGGUAGCACAAUCACUUGUUCUUUAAAUCAGGACUAGUAUGAACGGCCCCACGAGAGCUAUGCUGUCUCCCCCCUUCAAUCAGUGAAACUGAUCCCCUCGUGAAUAAUACCAUAAGACGAGAAGACCCCAUGGAACUUUAAACUAGUAUCACCCCCCCCAAGACACAUGACUACUAGUCUUUAGGCUGGGGCAGCCACGGAGAAAAAUAAAACCCCCGAGAUGAAAGGAAACCUCCUUAUCCAAGAACUACUAUUCAAAGAAUCAAUAAAUGACAUUAUUGACCCAAUACUUGAUCAACGAACCAAGCUACCCUGGGGAUAACAGCGCAAUCCAUUUCAAGAGACCUCAUCAACAAAUGGGCUUACGACCUCGAUGUUGGAUCAGGGUGUCCUGGUGGUGCAGCCGCUACCAAAGUGUUCGUUUGUUCAACGAUUAAAACCCUACGUGAUCU